CCUAACCCAUGCCAAGUCGAGCGGGAUGAGUGGAGCUUGCUCCAUGAUUCAGCGGCGGACGGGUGAGUAAUGCCUAGGAAUCUGCCUGGUAGUGGGGGACAACGUUUCGAAAGGAACGCUAAUACCGCAUACGUCCUACGGGAGAAAGUGGGGGAUCUUCGGACCUCACGCUAUCAGAUGAGCCUAGGUCGGAUUAGCUAGUUGGCGAGGUAAAGGCUCACCAAGGCGACGAUCCGUAACUGGUCUGAGAGGAUGAUCAGUCACACUGGAACUGAGACACGGUCCAGACUCCUACGGGAGGCAGCAGUGGGGAAUAUUGGACAAUGGGCGAAAGCCUGAUCCAGCCAUGCCGCGUGUGUGAAGAAGGUCUUCGGAUUGUAAAGCACUUUAAGUUGGGAGGAAGGGCAGUAAGUUAAUACCUUGCUGUUUUGACGUUACCGACAGAAUAAGCCCCGGCUAACUUCGUGCCAGCAGCCGCGGUAAUACGAAGGGUGCAAGCGUUAAUCG
This 507-nucleotide ribosomal RNA is filed under the name bacterium enrichment culture clone bHCH1_H11. RNAcentral describes it as "bacterial SSU rRNA". It matches the Rfam family "Bacterial small subunit ribosomal RNA", at positions 47 to 547 of the family's 1533-position model. The record is from RNAcentral.